GGACUACUCGGGUUUCUAAUCCCGUUUGCUCCCCUGGCCUUCGUGCCUCAGCGUCAGUAACUGUCCAGAGACUAGCUUUCGCCACCGGUCUUCCUUACGAUAUCUACGCAUUUCACUGCUACACCGUAAAUUCCAGUCUCCUCUCCAGUACUCGAGCACGGCAGUAUCGAGUGCAGUUCCGGGGUUGAGCCCCGGGAUUUCACACCCGACUUGCCAUGCCGCCUACGCACCCUUUACGCCCAAUGAAUCCGAACAACGCUCGGGACCUCUGUAUUACCGCGGCUGCUGGCAC
RNAcentral lists this ribosomal RNA (292 nucleotides) under uncultured bacterium. RNAcentral's name for it is "partial 16S ribosomal RNA". RNAcentral also lists the same sequence under 1 other name. The record is from RNAcentral.